RNAcentral lists this ribosomal RNA (420 nucleotides) under uncultured bacterium. RNAcentral's name for it is "bacterial SSU rRNA". It matches the Rfam family "Bacterial small subunit ribosomal RNA", at positions 355 to 775 of the family's 1533-position model. The record is from RNAcentral.
UGGGGAAUCUUGCGCAAUGGCCUGACGGCUGACGCAGCGACGCCGCGUGUGGGAGGACGCCCCUCGGGGUGUAAACCACUGUUGCCCGGGACGAACAAGCUUAUUCGUAAGCUCUGACGGUACCGGGUGAGGAAGCACCGGCUAACUCCGUGCCAGCAGCCGCGGUAAUACGGAGGGUGCGAGCGUUGUCCGGAAUCACUGGGCGUAAAGGGCGCGUAGGCGGCGCGGUAAGCGUGCGGUGAAAGCCCGGGGCUCAACCCCGGGUCGGCCGUGCGGACUGCCGGGCUCGAGCACUGUAGAGGCGGGUGGAAUUCCGGGUGUAGCGGUGGAAUGCGUAGAGAUCCGGAAGAACACCGGUGGCGAAGGCGGCCCGCUGGGCAGUGGCUGACGCUGAGGCGCGACAGCGUGGGGAGCAAACAG